AUUGAACGCUGGCGGCAGGCCUAACACAUGCAAGUCGAACGAGCGGCGGACGGGUGAGUAAUGUCUGGGAAACUGCCCGAUGGAGGGGGAUCACUACUGGAAACGGUAGCUAAUACCGCGUACUUUCGGAAGUGCCCAGAUGGGAUUAGCUUGGAGGUGAGGUAACGGUUCACCUAGGCGACGCUUCCUAGCUGGUCUGAUAGGAUGACCAGCCACACUGGAACUGAGACACGGUCCAGACUCCUAUGGUAGGCGGCAGUGGGGAAUAUUACACUGUUGGCUGAGGCCUGGUGCAGACAUGCCGCGUGUAUGGAGAAGUCCUUCGGGUUUUAGAGUACUUUCAGCUGUGAGGCGGUACCCGCUGAAGAAGCACCGGCUAACUCCGUGCCAGCAGCCGCGGUAAUUC
This 406-nucleotide ribosomal RNA is filed under the name uncultured bacterium. Its description in RNAcentral is "partial 16S ribosomal RNA". It matches the Rfam family "Bacterial small subunit ribosomal RNA", at positions 30 to 526 of the family's 1533-position model. The record is from RNAcentral.